UGAUAGUCCACUGUACCUGGAUUUCAGCA
This 29-nucleotide non-coding RNA is filed under the name Rattus norvegicus (Norway rat). Lineage: Eukaryota; Metazoa; Chordata; Mammalia; Rodentia; Muridae. The record is from RNAcentral.